GCACUGCUGACGAGACCCAAACAGGACGAAACAGCAGUCCAGUGC
Molecule: non-coding RNA, 45 nt
Organism: Echinostoma caproni
Lineage: Eukaryota; Metazoa; Platyhelminthes; Trematoda; Plagiorchiida; Echinostomatidae
Source: Rfam